RNAcentral lists this ribosomal RNA (290 nucleotides) under uncultured bacterium. Its description in RNAcentral is "partial 16S ribosomal RNA". It matches the Rfam family "Archaeal small subunit ribosomal RNA", at positions 455 to 747 of the family's 1478-position model. The record is from RNAcentral.
GUGCGCCGCCCGGUAAUACCGGCAGCCCGAGUGAUGGCCGAUAUUAUUGGGCCUAAAGCGUCCGUAGCUGGCCAGACAAGUCCGUUGGGAAAUCCACGCGCUCAACGCGUGGGCGUCCAGCGGAAACUGCCUGGCUUGGGGCCGGAGGACUCGAGGGGUACGUCCGGGGUAGGAGUGAAAUCCCAUAAUCCCGCACGGACCACCGAUGGCGAAAGCACUUCGAGAAAACGGAACCGACAGUGAGGGACGAAAGCCAGGGUCUCCAACCGGAUUAGAAACCCGUGUAGUCC